Molecule: transfer RNA, 60 nt
Filed under: Ictidomys tridecemlineatus (thirteen-lined ground squirrel)
Lineage: Eukaryota; Metazoa; Chordata; Mammalia; Rodentia; Sciuridae
Description: Spermophilus tridecemlineatus (thirteen-lined ground squirrel) tRNA
Rfam family: tRNA
About the family: Transfer RNA (tRNA) molecules are approximately 80 nucleotides in length. Their secondary structure includes four short double-helical elements and three loops (D, anti-codon, and T loops). Further hydrogen bonds mediate the characteristic L-shaped molecular structure. tRNAs have two regions of fundamental functional importance: the anti-codon, which is responsible for specific mRNA codon recognition, and the 3' end, to which the tRNAs corresponding amino acid is attached (by aminoacyl-tRNA synthetases). tRNAs cope with the degeneracy of the genetic code in two manners: having more than one tRNA (with a specific anti-codon) for a particular amino acid; and 'wobble' base-pairing, i.e. permitting non-standard base-pairing at the 3rd anti-codon position.
Source: Rfam by way of RNAcentral
GGGAUUGUAGCUCAGUGGUAGAGCACUUGCCUCACAUGCGAGAGGCAGAGUUCGAUCCCC